AUCCUCCGCGGUUUUAACCAGCGAUCUAACGACGUUUCAUUUGCUUCCCGGUUUUAGUUUCUCUCUCUCUCUCUCGCUCUCUCUCUCUCUCUCUCUCUCUCUCUCUCUCUCUAUCUCUCUCUCUCUCCCCCCUUCUCGCUCCUCUCUCUGUCUGUCGCUCUACUCUCUCUCUCUCCCCCUCUCCCCCUUCUCUCUCCUCUGUCUCUCUCUCUCUCUCUCUCUCUGUCUCUCUCUCUGUCUCUCUCUCUGCCUCUCCCUCUCCUCUCUCUCUCCCCCCUUCUCGCUCCUCUCUCUGUCUGUCGCUCUACUCUCUCUCUCUCCCCCUUCUCUCUCCUCUGUCUCUCUCUCUCUCACUCUCUCUGUCUCUCUCUCUCUCUCUGCCUCUCCCUCUCCCCUCUCGCUCUCUCUCUGCUCCUGUUGUGUUCCGAGCCCUUGGCUGUUUCCUUAAGACGCGGCUGCCUAUAGCACAGCACUUGUCUGACCUGUGUGGAGAUUUGGAACCCGUCAGAUUCUCUUCAAGGCGAGUUCCCCAGAAUCUAUAAACGCAGUGCAAAGAAAGGGCUGAUAUAUUAAGAACUACCGGCAACAUUAUUGCUGAUGCGUUUCUCGCAGAUCCAGUAUGACAAGACCUACCACAUUAAACGGCAAGAAACGAAAAAAAAAGGCGAAGGAAGUCAGAAACAGGAAUGUGGAGAUAACAGGCAGAAAAUGUAUGAGAACUGUAUGGAGAAGCAUGAACAAACAUGAAAAAUUUGUUUAGUGACUUGAAUUUAAAUUCCCCGGUGUGCAGGUGGUGUUCAAACGCUUGUCCCUGGAUCAAUAGUCCCGGCGUCUGGAUGCACGUCCUGUAACUUAACUAUUAUGCUAUCACUAACUCAUUCUCAAAGAAAAAUCAAAAUCACGAUUUCCGGGUUGCGAUCUAUUUGGAAGGUCAACAGUUGGAGUGUCGAGAAUUAUUUUGCAAUUUGCACUCUUCAUAUGUUUGACUUUUUAGGAACAUUAUGACUUAAUGAUUAUAAAAAUAGAACUUGAAGUACUGGCGUGAAAGAUGUACCAGGAGCAAUAAGAACAUUGUAGUACAAUGUAAUAUGACUAGUUAUUAAAUGUCAAUGUAUGUUAUUAGGAGUUAUUGCUAUAUAUCAUGAAUCAUUUGUAAAAUGAUUUUGUUUCAAAUAUAAAUAUUAAGUGUUAAAUAAUGUAUCAAAGAGAACUUAACAAACAUGAUUGACUCUUUAUAUAACAUGAACAUGGUGAACUUUUGUUGAGGUUUGUGUUCCCAGCCGAACAUACAAUGCAUUAUUUAAUACACUUGGAAUAAGUAUGGUUUUUGCCCUGACCUGAAAUAUCACAGACCACAGCAAAAUUAUAAUACAAAAGCAAAGUUCUGUGAAUGUUGCUUCAGAAACAUAAACAGAAAACUUGAAAUCUUCAACAGCUCUGUCUACUUGCAUGGAGAGUAAAACAAAAUUAAAGAUGAAUAUUGUGAUCUUUCAUCAGAAUGUUUUGAUGAACUAUCAUUGAUUUGAAAUCUUAUUACAUCACAAAUGUUGUCUGGACCUGUUAGAGUGAUUUCUGGAUUUAGCACAUUUAUAUUGAGCAAAUGACUUUGGCCACCUUAUAAAUUGUGGAUUUAGUUUGGAGUGCAGCUCUGAACAAUGUGUUUCUAAAAGCUGCAAAUCCCAGACCAGACAAUGCUGAUUAAAAUUCUUUUGGAUAUGUGUGGUAUGGGUGUGAAUUGGGAGAUGUGAAGUUCAUAUGUAGUUUCAAAGAAAGCAAUGUAGAUACAUUGUAAAUAUGGAAUUGUCCUUUGAUGUUUAGCACAAAAAUUAUUGAGUCUCACAUUGGGCCAGCCAGAUCUUUCAACUGAAAGCACCUCCAUAUGAUGCCUGGUGUACCUUGUUUUGUUAAAUAAAGAAGCUGCUUCAUAUCUACCAGUACCUUUCUCCAGUACUGACCAAUAAAGCAACCUGACCAAUUAAAUAUGGUCUAUUUUUCCAGUCAAUUUUUGCUUCUUGUUUGCUAUGUAAAAGUGAAGCUUAAGAAAUAAAUAUGUUUGAGCAACCACUAAAUGUAAUUAUUCCUUGAGCUACAGAGAAGGAAGAAAAACAGUGCUGUUUAAUUAGAAUAAAGAAUUUGUUAAAUACUUAGAGGCUGGUUUACUAUACAGUUUAUUUCAGAGGUUAAUCA
Mobula hypostoma (lesser devil ray) is the source of this 2187-nucleotide long non-coding RNA. RefSeq lists it as uncharacterized. The record is from RefSeq and is a predicted model, not a curated record. The transcript is spliced from 4 exons. Lineage: Eukaryota; Metazoa; Chordata; Chondrichthyes; Myliobatiformes; Myliobatidae.